This 208-nucleotide ribosomal RNA is filed under the name uncultured bacterium. RNAcentral's name for it is "partial 16S ribosomal RNA". It matches the Rfam family "Bacterial small subunit ribosomal RNA", at positions 568 to 775 of the family's 1533-position model. The record is from RNAcentral.
CGUGUAGGCUGAUAUCUUAGUCGGUUGUGAAAUCCCCGGGCUCAACCUGGGAAUUGCAGUCGAUACUGGAUAUCUUGAGUAUGGUAGAGGAAAGUGGAAUUCUCGGUGUAGUGGUUAAAUACGUAGAUAUCGAGAAGAACACCGGUGGCGAAGGCGACUUUCUGGACCAAUACUGACGCUGAGGCGCGAAAGCAUGGGGAGCAAAACA